GUAUAUUACUUUCCCAUUCUACUGUAGGUUACUCUCCCAUGCUACUGUAGGUUAGUCUCCCCUGCUACUGUAGGUGACUCUGCCAUUAUACUGGAGGUUAGUCUCCCCUGCUACUGUAGGUUACUCUCCCAUGCUACUGUAGGUUACUCUGCCAUUAUACUGAAGGUUACUCUCCCAUGCUACUUACUGUAGAUUACACUCCCAUGCUACUGUAGGUUACUCUCCCGUGCUACUGUAGGUUACUCUCCCAUGUUACUGUAGGUCACUCUCCCGUGCUACUGUAGGUUACUCUCCCAUGUUACUGUAGGUUACUCUCCCAUGCUACUGUAGGUUACUCUCCCAUAUGGCUAAGUUGAUUGUUCAGCUACAGUAGGUUACUCUCCCAUAUGGCUGAGUUGACUGUUCAUCUACUGUUUGUUAUUCACCAAUAUGGCUGUGUUGCCUGUUCAGCUACUGUAGGUUACUCUCCCAUAUGGCUGAGUUGACUGUUCAGCUACUGUAUGUUACUCUCCAAUGCUACUGUAGGUUACUCUUCCAUCCUACUGUAGGUUACUCUCCCCCUUCUACUGUAGGUAACUCGCCCAUGCUACUGUAGGUUACUAUCUCAUGUUACUGUAGGUUACUCUCCCAUGUUACUGUAGGUUACUCUCCCAUGUUACUGUAGGUUACUCUCCCAUGCUACUGUAGGUUACUCUCCAAUGUUACUGUAGGUUUCUCUCCCAUGCUAUUAUAGGUUACUCUCCCAUGAUACUGUAGAUCACUCUCCCAUGCUCCUGUAGGUUACUCUACCAUGAUACUGUAGGUUACUCUCCCAUGCUACUGUAGGUUUCUCUCCCAUGCUAUUAUAGGUUACUCUCCCAUGAUACUGUAGAUCACUCUCCCAUGCUCCGUAGGUUACUCUACCAUGAUACUGUAGGUUACUCUCCCAUGUUACUGUAGGUUACUCUCCCAUGCUACUGUAGGUUACUCUCCCAUGCUACUGUAGGUUACUCUCCCAUAUUACUGUAGGUUACUCUCCCAUGCUACUGUAGGUUAAUAUCUCGAUUGUAUCAUAAUAACUAUUGUCUGGUUUGGGAUGUGCAGUUGCGUAGUGCAG
Long non-coding RNA from Oncorhynchus tshawytscha (Chinook salmon), 1096 nucleotides. NCBI's taxonomy places the organism in Eukaryota, Metazoa, Chordata, Actinopteri, Salmoniformes, Salmonidae. The record is from Ensembl.